UGCCCCUACGGGACGCAGCAGUGGGGGAUAUUGCACAAUGGGGGGAACCCUGAUGCAGCGACGCCGCGUGGGCGAAGAAGCGCCUCGGCGCGUAAAGCCCUGUCAGCAGGGAAGAAAAUGACGGUACCUGAAGAAGAAGCCCCGGCUAACUACGUGCCAGCAGCCGCGGUAAUACGUAGGGGGCAAGCGUUAUCCGGAUUUACUGGGUGUAAAGGGGGCGCAGACGGCGAUGCAAGCCAGGAGUGAAAGCCCGUGGCCCAACCCCGGGACUGCUCUUGGGACUGCGGGGCUGGAGUGCAGGAGGG
RNAcentral lists this ribosomal RNA (305 nucleotides) under uncultured bacterium. RNAcentral describes it as "bacterial SSU rRNA". It matches the Rfam family "Bacterial small subunit ribosomal RNA", at positions 334 to 656 of the family's 1533-position model. The record is from RNAcentral.